Folsomia candida is the source of this 2576-nucleotide long non-coding RNA. RefSeq lists it as uncharacterized. The transcript is spliced from 4 exons. Lineage: Eukaryota; Metazoa; Arthropoda; Collembola; Entomobryomorpha; Isotomidae. The record is from RefSeq and is a predicted model, not a curated record.
AAUAAAGAACGUGAAGACAAACUUGUUACUUAAAUACAUAGUUCCGGCUUGCAAGUGUCAAGUUGGCCAAUUAUUUGUAGCAUACUUCCUUACAUCUCAGUCUGUGUAACAUUACUUUACAUUUACCAGAUCCCAACUAAAUCCCAUGAUGCCGGUACUAGAAGCAGCGACAUGCCAGGAUUGUGUGCAAAAUGCUGGAGGUUUUUGGUCGAUACGGACGGAUGGUUCAUCGAAUUGUUUCUCCGCGUUCGAUCCACCUGCCGAAUUUUUUCGAAUAAUAAUUUCGACAUUGGUUGGCUGCUCGUCCCUCGUGAUGACGCCAACAAGCCCACCGCCGUUGGAAUGUGACGACGGAUUUUUCACUGGAAUGAUUUGCGGAAAAACCCUGCCCAUCAUUCGCUACCCAUCAUUCCCUACCCGGUGCAUAUCCCUACCCUCAUGAUUCCCUCUCCAUCAUUCCCUACCCGAGACAAUUCCCUCCCCAUCAUUCCCUCUCCACCAUUCCCUACCCAGUCAAUGCCGAAAUGCCGGCAACAAUAAUAUCUAACGACAUCUCUCUGUGGAAUUGUUUCCAUUCUGUGCUGGAAGAUCUCCCGAAAACCAACAACGCCUGUGAGGGAUUCCACAACGGAUUUGCGUCUGUUCUUGGGGCUCAUCAUCCCACAAUCUACAAAUUAAUAGACAGUUUGAAAGAUGAGCAAGUUCUGACUGAAUUGGCCAUGAGCCAAUUGGCCAUGGAGCCAAACAUUUCAGUUUUGCAAAAAUGCCAAACUUGGCCAGAAUUUAGAAAACAUUUUAGAAACCUAUUUCAUAAAUAAUCAUUUUCGAUAUCUUCACCCCCAACACCGAUAUUCGAGGUCAAAGUGUAAUGUAUGCACUUAUGGCCUAUGCCAAAUAAUGUUCCAAAUGGUUAAGUACAAUUUUACAAAGUUCAGUUUUACAAGUUCAUUUUUAAAGGUUAUCUUCUAAAAAGGAAGAUUAUGGGUUUCCUGUUGCGCUUCCUGUAUUUCGCUUACUACGAGACAAACAUAUUGUUUCCUCGAUGAAGAAUAUGAACAAAUCUAAAUGAUAAUUUCCCGUCAGUAAUAAAGAGCUUGAGCCAACUUUGUAACUUACAUAGUUCAAACUUCCAAGUUGACCACUGGGUUAUUUUAAUAAAAGCAAAGUCUUGAAAUUGUUUUUUUUGCUUGUAGCAUACACAGCUCUCGAAAGAUCCAUGUAUCUUUAUAACUUUACCAUGUUUGUAUGUAUGGGUUUAGACUUCAAAUAAAUUUCAUGGUGAUUAAAUAUUUACAUCUGUAGAUAAAUAUUUUUGACAAGCUACUUAUUUAUAACUUGCUAUCCAUCCAGUUUCGUAAAUAGAAUUCGUUCUUAAAACACAAAUAGCAUCACCCCAUUAUCAAGAUUGGUACUCUUUGUGUCUUUGCAGAUGUUAGUAUUAGAAGCCGCGAGCUGUAUUGAUUGUGUGGAGCCUAUUGGAGGGAGUUGGGCGAUAAGGCAAGACGGUUCUGCGGCGUGUUCCUCGGCGUUCGAUCCACCCCCUGGAUUUUUUUCCGAGAAGAAUUGAGACGUUGGGGCAUGUCCCUCGUCACCACGACAACCCCACCUCCGAUGGUCUGUGAGGACGUAUUUAUCACGGUAUGUAUACACAACAUACAGGAGUUUUUAUCGAGAUGGGCACUUCGGCGGGAGGAGCGGUCUUGUUUUGGAUUUUGAAACGUUUCUAUAGCCAUGUGUCGCAUGGUGUAGGAUAAUUUCGCAGUGACCAAGGUGACUAAUUACACAAUCUAUGUAAUGAUCCGUAGCUCUUCUCAUAUAAAUAUAUAAAUGGACGAUAAUUUCGUCUGUAGACGGCUUGUGAGCUACGUUACGCGGACGCAUCAUUGACGAUUAAAUAAAUAUGAGUAUGCAAAUAAUUUUAUGUACAUAUUUAAGCAUGUUCCCAUUAACAUGUUUAUAUUUUUUUGCAGUAAACCAUAUAUAUGUAUAAAUAAAUUUAGUCAAUAAGUACCGUACUCACGACAGCUUAUUUCGCAUCGUAACUAAUUUAGCAAAUUUGCGAAACUCAAAGAAAUUGUAUCUUGAGGGGCUUCGCAAAAUAUGAGUUCGCAAAACUGUAAGGCACAGAUUUGUAAAUAUUUUUCCAUGGAUUUCUGUAAUUUUUCUCGUCUGUGACGGAGAAGAGAUGUUUGCGAAAUAAGCACAUGGUGAGAUGCUGGGUAAAUUUGCGAACUAAAAUCCCAUUAUUUUUCAUCAAAAUUUUUGCGAAAUCUCACAGAACUUCGCAAGUUAUAUUGCUAUGCUCAAUUUAAGAGAGAUGAGAGAUAUGGGAACGUUGACGUGAGUACGCUCAAUAUAUAUAUGCAUAUAUAAUCAAUUAUAUUUAGAUACGUCUUUCUAAGAUCUGGAUUAUUAUCCCUGUAAAUCUUAAUUGUCGCAAAAAUUUGACAAACAGUGCGCAGUAAAGUUUACAUGAUAUUGUAUACAACAAAUGAGCCCUACUUCUACAUAAAUUAACAUAAUGGAGGUAAAAAUGAUACAUGAAAACAAAUAAACAUAUAGAUAUUUAUUUCUCA